ACAUUCGUAAGCCUAUGGCAAACUAUAGAGUUACGACAGGUCGUCACCGCUACGAACGCUUUGUGGAUCGGGACCCGGCAGAAUCCAGGUUGGCCCUGAUUAUGAUUCUAGGUUUGUCAACACCAUACCAUUGCUCGCGAGUUUCACCACAGUGGUAAACAUACCUUCAUCAGGUCGAGCUCUCCUUCCAAAACAAGCUGACAUGCUAUGAUACCGCUUUGAAUUCCUUUAUUCGCUCAGAGCAGUAUGAAUAUAAAUUACAUAUAAAAUGGUUAUGUAAUGCUAUCGUAUAACAUUAGUCACAAUUGUAUAAUGUUCUGUCAAAAAAACCCCGAUAUAUCAGAUAUUUGAAUUUCAUGUUCCACCAAAUACUGAAGUUAUACUCAACGUGGUGUUGUAGAAAGACGUGUUCAGUACAUUUAUGUAGUUUUGCACAAGGUGAGCUUCAGUACCUACUGUAUUUUCUUCUAUACUGCUAGAGACUGAGAUGAAUCAUUGGUCCAUUCUGUGUUUGUUGUCAAGCAACGCAUGUUUGGGAAAAUGCUCAGGGUUACCUUACGACAAGGGCAAGUAAAAUUUCCUGUAUUCAAGUACAACUUUCCGAUUCACCCUUGUCGUUAUAAUUACAAAGGCAUUACAUGUUUACCUGGGUUAGUAAAGCUUUUGAGACCUUUGUAACAUACAGCAGUAUUCAGUGUUGAAUAACCUUUCUAUCAUCACAUAAUAGUCUGAAAUAUACGUGUAGCGCUCGGGGUAUUCACUUAUUAACAUAUAUACUGGAACCACAGCUGCUUCUGAUGGUUUUAGCUGUCAGGCUUUUAGUCCAUGCUUCUUCACAGUAUGUUAACCAUUUUUCUGCUACAGUAUGCUAACAACGAAUCAUCCAGUUCAUUUACUAUUGAAAAUGACCAAAGCUCUCUUUAUGCAUGAAAUAUACGUUAAUAAUAACCAGUUCUAUUACAAAAUGGCACGUAUGCAUGCAUGUCAAGAGAUCACAUAAACCAGACGAUCAUUUUGGUUUUGCAGUACCGAAGUUGGUGCGAUGACGUCGACAAGGGGAAGGCGUCGCCGGAGGUGCGGGAGAAGAUUCUCACCGACGAAGACGUCAAUAUAAA
This is a long non-coding RNA of Haliotis rubra (blacklip abalone), 1115 nucleotides long. RefSeq lists it as uncharacterized. The transcript has 2 exons. Lineage: Eukaryota; Metazoa; Mollusca; Gastropoda; Lepetellida; Haliotidae. The record is from RefSeq and is a predicted model, not a curated record.